Molecule: long non-coding RNA, 1220 nt
Organism: Cyprinus carpio carpio
Lineage: Eukaryota; Metazoa; Chordata; Actinopteri; Cypriniformes; Cyprinidae
Source: Ensembl
AGUAAUUAUCCAAAAAUUUUAACAUGCUGAACAUUUUCUCACCUUCAGUCCACCCAAGAUGUAGAUGGGUUUAUUCCUUCAUCAAAACAAAUUUGGAUAAAUUUAGCAUCACAUCUCUUGCUCACCAAUGGAUCCUCUGCAGUGGAUGGGUGCCGUCAUAAUGAGUCUAAACAGCUGAUAAUACAAGUAAUGUAGUAAUAAUGAUUAUUAUUAUUUUGUUGAUUACUUAUGGAUUAUUGUGAUGUUUUUAUCAGCUGUUUGGAUUCUCAUUCUGACGGCACCCAUUCACUGCAGAGUAUCCAUACGUGAGCAAGUUAUGCUAAAUUUGUCCAAAUCUGUUCAGAUAAAGAAACAAACUCAUCUCGGAUGGCCUGAGGUUGAGUGCUUUUUCAGGAAAUUAAAAUUUUGGGGUGAACUAUUCCUGUAAGUGUUUCACUGGAAGAGUAACAUCAUACAACCUUGGAGCACAGGAGGGGGAGAGAAUAAGGACAGAACUAUUCCUUUAAGAGAUUGUUUGUAAAAGGAGUAGCCAUUAUGUGCAUAUCAGAAGAACUAUAUUGCUUUGCCACCAGGAUUUGUUAUAGCAGAUCCUGGACACAAUCAUGGUUAAAUAACCAUUUCAUAAAAAGCAGUCAGAACGGGAUUUGGGGUUUGUUUUUUUCCCAAAUACGUCUAAUCACUGUUGGGAUACACAGCCUUGUUUGGUGCGAGAGCUCGUGCAGUAUGUGCAUACUGGAUACGAGUCCUGUAGUUAUCUGGGUCUCAUGCCUUGCGAAUGUUUGUAUUGUUAUUUAUUUAUUUAUUUAAAUAAAAAUAAAAAACUUGUAUAUGCAGGGAAUGUAAUCUACCACAUUUAGUACAGAGCAUAAAGUACUGAAUGACACGACUAAUGAUGCUAAACUAGCUACUGUAUGUAUUCAGAAAGAAAAUCUGCUUCAGGUUUCAGUGUCAAGUUGGAAAACCCUAAUAUGAUAGCACUAACUUGUACUCAGCUGAGAGACUUUUUGUAUUAUUUUAGCUUUGUAAGUUACUCUUGAGUUUGUUAAAGUAAGGCAAAGUGAGAUAUUUCACGGCGAAAACAUCAUGAAUGUAUUGUUUGUAAAGGAAGGAAUGUUAUAAUGUUAUUAUGUAAUGACUGUCUCUGGAAUCGCCAGUAUUUAUAUGCUGUACCUUAAUGCCAUUUAGGCCUUUCAAAUAAAAUGUGCUGCCUUGUGUUUGUG